Perca flavescens (yellow perch) is the source of this 341-nucleotide long non-coding RNA. RefSeq lists it as uncharacterized. The record is from RefSeq and is a predicted model, not a curated record. The transcript is spliced from 3 exons. NCBI's taxonomy places the organism in Eukaryota, Metazoa, Chordata, Actinopteri, Perciformes, Percidae.
GCCAAGAUUAAAGCUGCUUUAACAGCAAUAAACAUUAAACUUUUGCUGAUUGAAACCACACAGAAAAUGGCUGAGAGCCUGCUGCAGGAAGCUGAGCUGCUCAGAGUGUGUGCUGUCCUCCUCACUGCUGAUUGGUUGGUUCUUUCCUUGUUCCUGUUUGAGCAGCUCCACCUCGUUCCUGUAGGCAUCCAGCUGGCAGCGCAGAGAGUCGUUCUCCUCCUUCAAGGCUUCUGCUUGGGAAACACCUACAGAUUCAUUCGGAGAAGAAGAACCCCUGGAGACUUUUAGACAAAGAAUCAUCCUCCUCCUUUUACAUUUGUGAACCAAAUGCAGAGUAUGAG